UACGAAGGGAGCUAGCGUUGUUCGGAAUCACUGGGCGUAAAGCGCACGUAGGCGGAUGUGUCAGUCAGGGGUGAAAUCCCGGAGCUCAACUUCGGAACUGCCUUUGAUACAGCACGUCUUGAGUCCGAUAGAGGUGGGUGGAAUUCCUAGUGUAGAGGUGAAAUGCGUAGAUAUCAGGAGGAACACCGGUGGCGAAGGCGGGUCUCUGGGCCGUAACUGACGCUGAGGAGCGUAAGCGUGGGGAGCAAACAGG
This 253-nucleotide ribosomal RNA is filed under the name uncultured bacterium. RNAcentral's name for it is "partial 16S ribosomal RNA". It matches the Rfam family "Bacterial small subunit ribosomal RNA", at positions 524 to 776 of the family's 1533-position model. The record is from RNAcentral.